This is a non-coding RNA of Pelobates cultripes (western spadefoot toad), 295 nucleotides long. The record is from the annotation of a GenBank genome assembly. NCBI's taxonomy places the organism in Eukaryota, Metazoa, Chordata, Amphibia, Anura, Pelobatidae.
GUGAAAUUAGAUGGAUAUUAAUUUUAUAUGUGAUCCUAACAGGGGCAAUCUAAGCCCCAUAAGCAUUGCAACUUAGGGUAUGGGUUAUAAUGCAAAGCAAUUGUGAUUCCUUUUCAUAGUUUUUAGUUAAUGCAUUGUCGGUAGAGCGGGAGGGGGGGGUGCAAGGAAAAGCCCAAUUGUUUUAGCUAAGUGUUUCAAAAUGGUCUGAAAAAGCACAUCCAUUUAUUCUUUGCACCAUCACCACUAUAGGUGUGUGUACUAUUUCUCUACAAACUCUGCACUGGGUCCAUGUGAU